Molecule: ribosomal RNA, 468 nt
Filed under: uncultured bacterium
Lineage: Bacteria
Description: bacterial SSU rRNA
Rfam family: Bacterial small subunit ribosomal RNA
Source: RNAcentral
AUGAACGCUAGCGGCAGGCUUAAUACAUGCAAGUCGAACGGUGUCUUCGGACAUAGUGGCGCACGGGUGCGUAACACGUAUGCAACCUACCUUACAUUGGGGGAUAGCCUUUCGAAAGGGAGAUUAAUACCGCAUAAGACAGUAGCUGGGCAUCCAGCAGCUGUUAAAGAUUUAUCGAUGUAAGCUGGGCAUGCGUCCAAUUAGCUAGUUGGUGAGGUAACGGCUCACCAAGGCUAUGAUUGGUAGGGGAACUGAGAGGUCAAUCCCCCACACUGGCACUGAGAUACGGGCCAGACUCCUACGGGAGGCAGCAGUAGGGAAUAUUGGGCAAUGGACGCAAGUCUGACCCAGCCAUGCCGCGUGCAGGAUGAAGGCGUUAUGCGUUAUAAACUGCUUUUAUACAGGAAGAAACGACUCUUGCGAGAGGCAUUGACGGUACUGUAUGAAUAAGCACCGGCUAACUCCGUG